AUGGCCGGUGGUGCAGGCCGAACGGAGGGAGGAGGAGGCACAGGCGCUGACGAGCCUGGGGCGCCGGACCACUGUAGCGGUGGGUCGAGAGGCCAGGGAGACCCUGGAAGGGUCGAGGUCGCCGGCGGGCUGGAUCGCCGGAGCGGCGCGACGGUUCCUGGUGGUGCGAAGGAGCCAUGGAGGCGAUGCAGACGAUGGAGACAGGGAACGGUGGGAGCAGAAGGAGCUCGCGACGACACAUCAAACGGGGAGGCCCUCGAGCAGAGGAGCAGGCGACAUGGAGGGGCGACAGCAGAGUAG
RNAcentral lists this ribosomal RNA (300 nucleotides) under Triticum aestivum (bread wheat). Its description in RNAcentral is "partial small subunit ribosomal RNA". Lineage: Eukaryota; Viridiplantae; Streptophyta; Magnoliopsida; Poales; Poaceae. The record is from RNAcentral.